UACAGAGGGUGCAAGCGUUGUUCGGAAUUAUUGGGCGUAAAGCGCGUGUAGGCGGCUUUGUGUGUCGGGUGUGAAAGCCCUCGGCUUAACCGAGGAAGUGCGCCCGAAACUGCAGAGCUUGAGUGCCGGAGAGGAUAGCGGAACACCCGGUGUAGCGGUGAAAUGCGUAGAUAUCGGGAGGAACACCUGUGGCGAAAGCGGCUCACUGGACCGCAACUGACGCUGAGGCGCGAAAGCUAGGGGAGCAAACAGG
RNAcentral lists this ribosomal RNA (253 nucleotides) under uncultured bacterium. RNAcentral describes it as "partial 16S ribosomal RNA". It matches the Rfam family "Bacterial small subunit ribosomal RNA", at positions 524 to 776 of the family's 1533-position model. The record is from RNAcentral.